CGAUUGUGGAAUCUUCGAAACGGGCGAUUCUUAAUGACAAUGUUGACCAUUAACAAAGGGAACGGAAAAAACGGAGGAUACAAAGGAGUCGCAGGGAGGAAAUAGUAAAAAUAAGAAGAGAGACUGAUGGGAUUGAUUUGAAAAUAUUCGUGAGAUUUGAAUAAAACUAACUGGUAUCUUACAAUUAUUACAUUCGAUCAAUAAACGAUUU
Molecule: non-coding RNA, 211 nt
Organism: Caenorhabditis elegans
Lineage: Eukaryota; Metazoa; Nematoda; Chromadorea; Rhabditida; Rhabditidae
Source: Ensembl